UGGGGAAUAUUGGACAAUGGGCGAAAGCCUGAUCCAGCCAUGCCGCGUGAGUGAUGAAGGCCCUAGGGUUGUAAAGCUCUUUCACCGGUGAAGAUAAUGACGGUAACCGGAGAAGAAGCCCCGGCUAACUUCGUGCCAGCAGCCGCGGUAAUACGAAGGGGGCUAGCGUUGUUCGGAAUUACUGGGCGUAAAGCGCACGUAGGCGGAUUGUUAAGUGAGGGGUGAAAUCCCAGGGCUCAACCCUGGAACUGCCUUUCAUACUGGCAAUCUUGAGUCCGAGAGAGGUGAGUGGAAUUCCGAGUGUAGAGGUGAAAUUCGUAGAUAUUCGGAGGAACACCAGUGGCGAAGGCGGCUCACUGGCUCGGUACUGACGCUGAGGUGCGAAAGCGUGGGGAGCAAACA
RNAcentral lists this ribosomal RNA (402 nucleotides) under uncultured bacterium. RNAcentral's name for it is "bacterial SSU rRNA". It matches the Rfam family "Bacterial small subunit ribosomal RNA", at positions 355 to 774 of the family's 1533-position model. The record is from RNAcentral.